RNAcentral lists this ribosomal RNA (498 nucleotides) under uncultured bacterium. RNAcentral describes it as "partial 16S ribosomal RNA". It matches the Rfam family "Bacterial small subunit ribosomal RNA", at positions 30 to 523 of the family's 1533-position model. The record is from RNAcentral.
AUUGAACGCUGGCGGCAUGCCUUACACAUGCAAGUCGAACGGUAACAGGUCUUCGGAUGCUGACGAGUGGCGAACGGGUGAGUAAUACAUCGGAACGUGCCCGAUCGUGGGGGAUAACCAGGCGAAAGCUUUGCUAAUACCGCAUACGAUCUACGGAUGAAAGCGGGGGAUCUUCGGACCUCGCGCUGACGGAGCGGCCGAUGGCAGAUUAGGUAGUUGGUGGGAUAAAAGCUUACCAAGCCGACGAUCUGUAGCUGGUCUGAGAGGAUGAUCAGCCACACUGGGACUGAGACACGGCCCAGACUCCUACGGGAGGCAGCAGUGGGGAAUUUUGGACGAUGGGCGAAAGCCUGAUCCAGCCAUGCCGCGUGCAGGAUGAAGGCCUUCGGGUUGUAAACUGCUUUUGUACGGAACGAAAAGCCUCUUUCUAAUAAAGAGGGGUCAUGACGGUACCGUAAGAAUAAGCACCGGCUAACUACGUGCCAGCCGCCGCAGUAA